This is a long non-coding RNA of Oncorhynchus mykiss (rainbow trout), 2908 nucleotides long. NCBI's taxonomy places the organism in Eukaryota, Metazoa, Chordata, Actinopteri, Salmoniformes, Salmonidae. The record is from Ensembl.
AUGUCAACGGUGACCCAACUCAACGCCCUUGGUGGUCCAGAGUCAGAGAGUCGGAAAAUUGUUCAGAGCUUUGCAGAGGUACUUGGUGACAAGUACCACUACGAGAAUGCCAUCGACAGCUCUCUGCUCUGGACUGUUGGGUACACCCCCUACAUUCCCCCAGCUCUGAAAGGAAGAAGCUUCCCUUCUGUCGAGAGCUUCUUCCUGGAUGAGUGGGAGCCACUGACACUCCUGCAGACUUCUCAGGUUCUGUCCACCAGUGUUUCCAUCGAGGAAGACAACCGGAUCCAGUCUGCUGCAGGCCUAGUGUCUCAGCUUCUGUCUACCAGUGUUUCCAUCGUGGAGAAUGACCUGAUCCAGUCUGCUGCAGGCCUAGUGUCUCAGGUUCUGUCCACCAGUGUUUCCAUCGUGGAGAAUGACCUGAUCCAGUCUGCUGCAGUCCUAGUGUCUCAGGUUCUGUCCACCAGUGUUGCCAUCGUGGAGAAUGACCUGAUUCAGUCUGCUGCAGGCCUAGUGUCUCAGGUUCUGUCCACCAGUGUUUCCAUCGUGGAGAAUGACCUGAUCCAGUCUGCUGCAGUCCUAGUGUCUCAGGUUCUGUCCACCAGUGUUUCCAUCGAGGAAGACAACCUGAUCCAGUCUGCUGCAGGCCUAGUGUCUCAGGUUCUGUCCACCAGUGUUACCAUCAUGGAGAAUGACCUGAUCCAGUCUGCUGCAGUCCUAGUGUCUCAGGUUCUGUCCACCAGUGUUGCCAUCGUGGAGAAUGACCUGAUCCAGUCUGCUGCAGGCCUAGUGUCUCAGGUUCUGUCCACCAGUGUUUCCAUCGAGGAAGACAACCGGAUCCAGUCUGCUGCAGGCCUAGUGUCUCAGCUUCUGUCUACCAGUGUUACCAUCGUGGAGAAUGACCUGAUCCAGUCUGCUGCAGGCCUAGUGUCUCAGGUUCUGUCUACCAGUGUUUCCAUCGUGGAGAAUGACCUGAUCCAGUCUGCUGCAGUCCUAGUGUCUCAGGUUCUGUCCACCAGUGUUUCCAUCGUGGAGAAUGACCUGAUUCAGUCUGCUGCAGGCCUAGUGUCUCAGGUUCUGUCCACCAGUGUUUCCAUCGUGGAGAAUGACCUGAUCCAGUCUGCUGCAGUCCUAGUGUCUCAGGUUCUGUCCACCAGUGUUUUCAUCGAGGAAGACAACCUGAUCCAGUCUGCUGCAGGCCUAGUGUCUCAGGUUCUGUCCACCAGUGUUACCAUCAUGGAGAAUGACCUGAUCCAGUCUGCUGCAGUCCUAGUGUCUCAGGUUCUGUCCACCAGUGUUACCAUCAUGGAGAAUGACCUGAUCCAGUCUGCUGCAGGCCUAGUGUCUCAGGUUAUGUCCACCAGUGUUUCCAUCGUGGAGAAUGACCUGAUCCAGUCUGCUGCAGUCCUAGUGUCUCAGGUUCUGUCCACCAGUGUUGCCAUCGUGGAGAAUGACCUGAUCCAGUCUGCUGCAGGCCUAGUGUCUCAGGUUCUGUCCACCAGUGUUACCAUCGUGGAGAAUGACCUGAUCCAGUCUGCUGCAGGCCUAGUGUCUCAGGUUCUGUCCACCAGUGUUUCCAUCGAGGAAGACAACCUGAUCCAGUCUGCUGCAGGCCUAGUGUCUCAGGUUCUGUCCACCAGUGUUACCAUCGUGGAGAAUGACCUGAUCCAGUCUGCUGCAGGCCUAGUGUCUCAGGUUCUGUCCAGCAGUGACGCUAGAGUGAAGGAUCGUGAUGAUUCCACACUGAGAGACUCCAACCAACCUGAGGUCCAUGUGGCUGAUGUCUCAACCAAGAGAAGUAGACUAGUCAUCACUAUUUCUAUGUUUUCAACCGAGAGUUGCAAUGCUUCGGUCCAUGAGGUUGAUGCUAUUGCUACCAGCCUGGAGCACUCUGCUGAGAAAAUGUCUACCUCUACCGCUGAUGGCCACAUUGUUUCAUCCACUGCUGUAGCCAAUCAGAAGGAAACAAGGGGCGGAUUCGUCUCAUCUCUACGGAGACUGUUCACAAGAAAGAACAGGAUGCCUGUCAGUAAUACUUAUAUACUUAUAUAAUCUUUUGUACUGUAAUAUGUUAUCAUUUAUUAACUAUUGUUAUACUAAUAUCCAGUGUUAAUGGUUGUCUUUAAAAUAUUUUUCUCUGUUGUCUACUUGUCUGUUUUCAGGCUAAAGUGGCUUCCAAGAAGGAGCACAUUCACUUGGUUGACCGCCUCAAUGCUGAAGUCACCCACUGAGGGCACUCACUCACUGCUGAAGGCAUCCAGAAUGAUGCUUCUGUUUCUCCUCAACGCCACCUACACCCCUGCCCCUCUCCCCCACACCAAACCCUACCAGGGUUGGGGUGAAUUCCAGAUAUAUUCAGUCAAUUCAGCAAGUCAACUAAAAUUCCAAUUCCAAUUGUUUCUCAUAGGAGGCAAUGAGGUAAAUUUGAAUUGCUAUUGGAAUUUCAGUUUACUUACUGAAUUGACUGAAUUGAAAAUGAAUUGACCCCAACCCUGAUCCCUAAGCCCCCACCCCAUCCAUUUCUAUCUUCAGUAAACUUUGUAGAAUUUUAUUUGAAUGUGUUUUGGAUCUUCAUUAAAACCCACAAUACAUCUCUAAUGAGGGUCACUCAUGUUACACAUCUAGAUUUAUCAUCAAAUAUCGUAGAAUUCAACAACAAAUGCAGUGGUUUAGCAGUUCAACUUCAGUACUUGUCAAUGAGUAACUGCACUGUGACCUUCAGAAACAUGUAACAUUGUGGAAAAACUGAAAACUUUUGCUGACAUUUGGUUACAAUGUAACUACACUGAACAAAAAUAUUAGCGCAACAUGUAAAGUAUUGGUCCCAUGUUUCAUGAGCUGAAAUAAAAUCCCAGAAGUGUUCCAUAUGUACAAAAAGGUUAUUUCUCUGAAAUGUUGUGUUUACAUC